RNAcentral lists this ribosomal RNA (440 nucleotides) under uncultured bacterium. RNAcentral describes it as "partial 16S ribosomal RNA". It matches the Rfam family "Bacterial small subunit ribosomal RNA", at positions 338 to 795 of the family's 1533-position model. The record is from RNAcentral.
CCUACGGGAGGCAGCAGUGGGGAAUAUUGCACCAUGGGGGAAACCCUGAUGCAGCGACGCCGCGUGAGUGAAGAAGUAAUUCGUUACGUAAAGCUCUAUCAGCAGGGAAGAAAAUGACGGUACCUGAGUAAGAAGCCACGGCUAACUACGUGCCAGCAGCCGCGGUAAUACGUAGGUGGCAAGCGUUAUCCGGAAUGACUGGGCGUAAAGGGUGCGUAGGUGGUUUAGUAAGUUGGCUGUGUAAUUCCGGGGCUCAACCUCGGCGCUACAUCCAAAACUAUUAGACUAGAGUGCAGGAGGGGUAGGUGGAAUUCCUAGGGUAGCGGUGGAAUGCGUAGAUAUUAGGAGGAACAUCAGGGGCGAAGGCGACUUACUGGACUGUAACUGACACUGAGGCACGAAAGCGUGGGGAGCAAACAGGAUUAGAUACCCCUGUAGUC